CAGUCGAGGGGCAGCGGGGAGCGAAGCUUGCUUUGCUCCGCCGGCGACCGGCGCACGGGUGAGUAACGCGUAUGCAACCUGCCCGUUUCAGCGGGAUAACCCGGAGAAAUCCGGCCUAAUACCGCAUGUGGCCGAGGGGAGGCAUCUUCUUUCGGCCAAAGGAGGCAACUCCGGAGACGGAUGGGCAUGCGUGACAUUAGCUUGUUGGCGGGGUAACGGCCCACCAAGGCGACGAUGUCUAGGGGUUCUGAGAGGAAGGUCCCCCACACUGGUACUGAGACACGGACCAGACUCCUACGGGAGGCAGCAGUGAGGAAUAUUGGUCAAUGGGCGAGAGCCUGAACCAGCCAAGUCGCGUGAAGGAUGACGGCCCUACGGGUUGUAAACUUCUUUUGUCAGGGAGCAAUUGAGUCCACGUGUGGGCUUAGCGAGAGUACCUGAAGAAAAAGCAUCGGCUAACUCCGUGCCAGCAGCCGCGGUAAUACGGAGGAUGCGAGCGUUAUCCGGAUUUAUUGGGUUUAAAGGGUGCGUAGGCGAGCUUUUAAGUCAGCGGUAAAAAUUCGGGGCUCAACCCCGUCCGGCCGUUGAAACUGGCAGCCUUGAGUGAGCGAGAAGUAUGCGGAAUGCGUGGUGUAGCGGUGAAAUGCAUAGAUAUCACGCAGAACUCCGAUUGCGAAGGCAGCAUACCGGCGCUCAACUGACGCUCAGGCACGAAAGCGUGGGUAUCGAACAGGCUUAGAUACCCUGGUAGUCCACGCAGUAAACGGUGAAUGCUCACUGUCCGGGCCGUUUAAGGCCUGGGU
This 803-nucleotide ribosomal RNA is filed under the name uncultured bacterium. Its description in RNAcentral is "bacterial SSU rRNA". It matches the Rfam family "Bacterial small subunit ribosomal RNA", at positions 59 to 844 of the family's 1533-position model. The record is from RNAcentral.